RNAcentral lists this ribosomal RNA (443 nucleotides) under uncultured bacterium. RNAcentral describes it as "partial 16S ribosomal RNA". It matches the Rfam family "Bacterial small subunit ribosomal RNA", at positions 338 to 795 of the family's 1533-position model. The record is from RNAcentral.
CCUACGGGAGGCAGCAGUGGGGGAUAUUGGACAAUGGGGGAAACCCUGAUCCAGCGCCGCCGCGUGAGUGAAGAAGUAUUUCGGUAUGUAAAGCUCUAUCAGCAGGGAAGAAAGAAAUGACGGUACCUGAAUAAGACGCCCCGGCUAACUACGUGCCAGCAGCCGCGGUAAUACGUAGGGGGCAAGCGUUAUCCGUAAUUACUGGGUGUAAAGGGAGCGUAGACGGUAAUGCAAGUCUGGAGUGAAAGGCGGGGGCCCAACCCCCGGACUGCUCUGGAAACUGUGUAACUGGAGUGCGGGAGAGGCAGGCGGAAUUCCUGGUGUAGCGGUGAAAUGCGUAGAUAUUAGGAGGAACACCAGUGGCGAAGGCGGCCUGCUGGACUGUAACUGACGUUGAGGCUCGAAAGCGUGGGGAGCAAACAGGAUUAGAUACCCCGGUAGUC